Molecule: long non-coding RNA, 1984 nt
Organism: Hydra vulgaris (swiftwater hydra)
Lineage: Eukaryota; Metazoa; Cnidaria; Hydrozoa; Anthoathecata; Hydridae
Source: RefSeq, a predicted model, not a curated record
UAAAAGGUUGAAUUGUGAUAUGAGGUAAUGAUUGUGAUAAAGAAGUUCAUUGUAAAUGCAAAUGUAUAAAAGAGUACAAAAUACCAUCUAUUGACGUUAAGUUUAUAUAUUUUCAAAGAAUUAAAACUGGAACUGUUAGCAAGUUUCAAAUUGAAUUAUCUGAUAGUAUUGAAACCAGGAAACAGUUCAAAAGAUUACUUAGAAAAGAUCGAGAAAAAUAUUUUGAGAAUAAAGACAGCAAUGUUAUUUUAACUUAAAAACAAAAAAUUGAGUCAGAUCAGAUAAACUUUCAAAAGGAAAGUGAUUUUAGUAAUGAAAUAGAAUUAAAUGAUAACAUUGAUGAUAUUACUAAUGUAGAAUUACCUCUGGUACUUGAGAAAUCAUCAGGAAAAAAAAAGUGUUGCAAUACCUUAGAUAUUUCACACAUAGCUAUGAAUAGCGUAAGAUAUGGGGUAUCUGCACGUGCUACAGCUGCAAUUGGUACAGCAACACUAAUUGAUGCAGGAUUAAUAACAUCUGAUGAUAAAAAGUUAAUUAUUGACCAUAGUAAAGUUUCGAGAGCGCAAGAAUCUCUGAUCUUAGUAAGGAUUUUGACAAAAUAGCAAAAAAUGGAGAAGUGAUUGAACUUGAUGACUCAAAUGCAAAAUUUCCAGUAACAGUGAAAGAAGAACAUUACUCUGUUUGUAUGGAACCUGGAGGAAAAUAUUUGUUUCACUUUACUUCUGAGAAAGCAACAAAAAGUGUUAAACAUGCAGAGAUUAUAGCAAAUAAAAUUGUUGAAUGGCUGACUGAGAGAGGUAUUGACAAGUCUUUACUGGCUGUUGGUGGAGACUCUACAAAUGUAAACACCGGUUGAGAGGGUGCAGUCAUCAAAUAUAUAGAAAUAAAAUUAGGAAAAAAACUUGUUUGGCUUAUAUGUCAACUCCGUACGAAUGAGUUGCCACUGAGACAUCUUAUAACCAAUUUAGAUGGUCAAACAAAAUCAAACAAUAACUGGUCUGGUGUUAUUGGUUCCAUGCUUGAUCAUGCUACAGAUCUAGAUACAAAUCCAGUAUUUGAAACUAUUAAAAUUGGCAAUCCACUUAUUUCUCUCGAUGAUAAAAUAAUAAAUGACCUGUCUGCAGAUCAAUUUUAUGGUUAUAAAGUUGUUUGUGCCAUUGAAGUGGUAUUUUACCACCAAAAUUUCAUUUAUUACAAAUUGGGCCUGUUUCACAUUCAAGAUGGUUAACUACUGCUAACAGAAUAUGUAGAAUAUGGAUCUCUAAACAUGGAAUUCAAGGUAAAGAUUUAGAAAAUUUAAGAUCUAUCACUGAGUACAUUGUAGGUGUUUAUUUUCCUUGUUGGUUUAAGAUUAAAGUUGAACAUUCUUGGAUUGAAGGUCCUAAGCAUGUACUUUACCAACUGCAGCAACUUAAAUUUCAAAAAAGAAGAUGUCAUUAAAAUAGUAUCACCCUCUAUUCAAAGAUCAGCUUGGUUUUGUUUCAGUGAGUGUAUACUACAAACAUUGUUGUGUUCUAAUACUGAAGAGGAUAGAAGUGUAGCUGUCAAUAAGAUAAAAGAUAUUAGAGGUACUGGAAAUGAAGAUCUACAAAAAAGUGAUUCCUCUCCCAGACCAAGAAAAACGCCUGUUCUGAACUUUAAUGCUGAAAAAUUGGUAGAUCUAAUAUCAUAGAAGUCACCGGUUUAUGAACCAGUCUUAACUACCUCUCUAACAACUUCUGAAAUUAAUGUGUUUUUAUCAAAUCCUAUGCAAGUGCCGAUUUGGCCAUGUCAUGGACAAUCUGUUAAACGUUGCGUAAAGCAAGUUACAGAAGCUUCAAGUAGAGUGUACACUCAUGAAAAGAGAGAAGGAUUUGUCCGAACUCAAGAGGCGAGUAGAAAGUUAAUGCCUAAAAAUAAUAGUAAACAAGACCUUGAAAGUUUGACACAAAUGUUUUUGUAUUAAAUUUAUAAUAUUUAUUGAAAUAAUUCGGUUUUUUUUUUU